UCAAGAAUGUAAUUAUUCUGGGAACUCAUUCACAAAAGACAUUUUCAAUCAAAAAUGCAAACUCUUCCCUACCAUUUUCAAUACUACGACUUUGUAAUAAGCAGAGAAGAAAUGUUAGCAAUCCUCUUUGUAACAAAACGAUUCCAACAAGAUUUAGCAACGUAAAAUUUUGCAAUUCUAACGGAGUACGGUGCAACCUUUCCGAAGAAUAUCAUAUGGAAUUUUUCCCUACUCCAGAAGCUCUUUGGUUCUUUCCUCCUUGACCUUUAUUUGGUCAUUGCUCUGUUUGUGUUUUCAAUUUCAAGGUAUGUAACAACGUUUAUCUUAAAUAGAAUUAACUUUGAGUUUGAAAUUUGUGUUUGAAACCUGUUUUCAUUUGGCUGAAUUUUGCUAUUAGUUUUAGCAUCCUUGACUUGUUGAAUUUAGAGUUAAUUAAUGUCCAUAAACCCUGUGUUGAUAUUACUUUAAAUAGCUGCUGCAUUUGUUCAUGAAAUCUGAAAUGACUGUGCUGCAUAUGUCAAUGUUGGGUGGCUGAAUCAAUAUGUCUAUAUACUAUAAAACUAUGUUCAAAAUUACUCUUUUGAUAGCAGCACUAAAGGAAAUGAAUCUAACCCUUUAAAUGGUCAGAUUCACUCCUUAAAUAGUGCAUAAGAUUCUGGACUCCUCUAGCAUAUGUCUAAGUUGUUUCCCUUCCCCCCUUUCUUUUUUCUUUACUAAGAAGAGAACUUGGAGUAGGAUUAUGGUUUGGAAGUCUUUGUUCGUUUAUGGGGCUGACCUUAAAACAUGGUCAGAUUUAUGAACAAUAUUGCUUUUCCUUUUACUCGUUUUUUUGCAUUAGGUUAGUUAAGAUUGAUUUGAUAAUACUGUAGGUUUUUACAUUUGAAGAAAUUUUUUAAGGCUGACCUUUUCACAUGGUCAGAUUCAUGAAAGUCUAGGCUGAAAUAGAAGCCUGAUGAGCAGUAGGAAGCUUCAGAGUUGGAAUGGUAUCCUGUAAGAAACAACUCUAUAGAUGAUUUCCUGCAGGUUGAAGUUGCCUUUUUGAAAGAUUUUGUAACAGCUAGGAGACUCCAAAUUUGGAAGGAAGACGGUUUUUUUGCCUUAGCCUUUUUCUAGAUAUAUAAUUGUAUUCAGUAAAGUUAUGUAAAUUCAUGGACAUUCAGCAGAGAAAAAAGACUGUUAUAAUGAUUCUUAAAUUCAGUUUUCAUUUAACUUA
Molecule: long non-coding RNA, 1213 nt
Organism: Nicotiana tabacum (common tobacco)
Lineage: Eukaryota; Viridiplantae; Streptophyta; Magnoliopsida; Solanales; Solanaceae
Source: RefSeq, a predicted model, not a curated record